Molecule: ribosomal RNA, 614 nt
Filed under: uncultured Bacteroidota bacterium
Lineage: Bacteria; Pseudomonadati; Bacteroidota
Description: bacterial SSU rRNA
Rfam family: Bacterial small subunit ribosomal RNA
Source: RNAcentral
UCGAGGGGUAUAGUUCUUCGGAGCUAGAGACCGGCGCACGGGUGCGUAACGCGUAUGCAAUCUACCUUUCACAGAGGGAUAGCCCAGAGAAAUUUGGAUUAAUACCUCAUAGUAUUAUGAAAUGGCAUCAUUUUAUAAUUAAAGUCACAACGGUGAAAGAUGAGCAUGCGUCCCAUUAGCUAGUUGGUAAGGUAACGGCUUACCAAGGCUACGAUGGGUAGGGGUCCUGAGAGGGAGAUCCCCCACACUGGUACUGAGACACGGACCAGACUCCUACGGGAGGCAGCAGUGAGGAAUAUUGGACAAUGGGCGCAAGCCUGAUCCAGCCAUGCCGCGUGCAGGAUGACGGUCCUAUGGAUUGUAAACUGCUUUUGCACAGGAAGAAACAACUCUACGUGUAGAGUCUUGACGGUACUGUGAGAAUAAGGAUCGGCUAACUCCGUGCCAGCAGCCGCGGUAAUACGGAGGAUCCAAGCGUUAUCCGGAAUCAUUGGGUUUAAAGGGUCCGUAGGCGGUUUAGUAAGUCAGUGGUGAAAGCCCAUCGCUCAACGGUGGAACGGCCAUUGAUACUGCUAGACUUGAAUUAUUAGGAAGUAACUAGAAUAUGUAGUGUA